Molecule: ribosomal RNA, 253 nt
Filed under: uncultured bacterium
Lineage: Bacteria
Description: partial 16S ribosomal RNA
Rfam family: Bacterial small subunit ribosomal RNA
Source: RNAcentral
GACAGAGGGUGCAAACGUUGUUCGGAAUUACUGGGCGUAAAGCGCGUGUAGGCUGCUUGGAAAGUCGGGUGUGAAAUCCCUGGGCUCAACCCAGGAAGUGCACUCGAAACUUCUAAGCUUGAGUUCUGGAGAGGAAGGCGGAAUUCUCGGUGUAGAGGUGAAAUUCGUAGAUAUCGAGAGGAACACCGGUGGCGAAGGCGGCCUUCUGGACAGUGACUGACGCUGAGACGCGAAAGCGUGGGGAGCAAACAGG